Molecule: ribosomal RNA, 424 nt
Filed under: uncultured prokaryote
Description: bacterial SSU rRNA
Rfam family: Bacterial small subunit ribosomal RNA
Source: RNAcentral
UGGGGAAUUUUCCGCAAUGGGCGCAAGCCUGACGGAGCAAUACCGCGUGAGGGAGGAAGGCUUUUGGGUUGUAAAACCCUUUCAGCGGGGAAGAUGAUGACGGUACCCGCAGAAGAAGCCCCGGCUAACUCCGUGCCAGCAGCCGCGGUAAUACGGAGGGGGCUAGCGUUGUUCGGAAUUACUGGGCGUAAAGGGCGUGUAGGCGGUUUGUCUAGUCAGGCGUGGAAGCCCCGGGCUCAACCUGGGAACUGCGUUUGAUACUGGCAGGCUAGAGGUUGGAAGAGGAGAGUGGAAUUCCCAGUGUAGAGGUGAAAUUCGUAGAUAUUGGGAAGAACACCAGUGGCGAAGGCGGCUCUCUGGUCCAUACCUGACGCUGAGGCGCGAAAGCGUGGGGAGCAAACAGGAUUAGAUACCCCCGUAGUCC